AGUGAACGCUGGCGGUAGGCCUAACACAUGCAAGUCGAACGGCAGCACAGUAAGAGCUUGCUCUUACGGGUGGCGAGUGGCGGACGGGUGAGGAAUACAUCGAAAUCUACUUUUUCGUGGGGGAUAACGUAGGGAAACUUACGCUAAUACCGCAUACGACCUACGGGUGAAAGCAGGGGAUCUUCGGACCUUGCGCGAUUGAAUGAGCCGAGGUCGGAUUAGCUAGUUGGCGGGGUAAAGGCCCACUAAGGCGACGAUCCGUAGCUGGUCUGAGAGGAUGAUCAGCCACACUGGAACUGAGACACGGUCCAGACUCCUACGGGAGGCAGCAGUGGGGAAUAUUGGACAAGGGGCGCAAGCCUGAUCCAGCCAUACCGCGUGGGUGAAGAAGGCCUUCGGGUUGGAGAGCCCUUUUGUUGGGAAAGAAAGGCAGCAGGUUAAUACCCCGCUGUUCUGACGGUACCCAAAGAAUAAGCACCGGCUAACUUCGUG
RNAcentral lists this ribosomal RNA (492 nucleotides) under uncultured bacterium. Its description in RNAcentral is "partial 16S ribosomal RNA". It matches the Rfam family "Bacterial small subunit ribosomal RNA", at positions 29 to 507 of the family's 1533-position model. The record is from RNAcentral.